This 1200-nucleotide ribosomal RNA is filed under the name Triticum aestivum (bread wheat). RNAcentral describes it as "partial small subunit ribosomal RNA". The record is from RNAcentral. Lineage: Eukaryota; Viridiplantae; Streptophyta; Magnoliopsida; Poales; Poaceae.
AUGGCCGAUCCCUCCCACUCCUCCCCCACCGCCGGGGACGCCAUCCUUCCGCCGCAGGCCUCCGACGCGCCGGAGGCGCCCCUCCCCGCCGCGGCCGCCGAUCUGGACAAGGAGUUCGGGUUCCAGCGCGAGGAGCUCCACACGGAGAAGCUCGCCGGGACGGUGGGCUUCCACGAGCGCCACGUGUUCCUCUGCUACAAGGGCCCCGAGGAGUGGCCGUCCCACCUCGAGGCCACCGAGUCCGACCGCCUCCCCCGCCUCCUCGCCGCCGCCAUCAAGGCCCGCAAGCCCGACCUGAAGAAGAGCACCAAACUGACCAUUUGUGAAGGAGAAGACGGCACUGAGUCAUCUCUUGGAGACGUGUUGAUCUUUCCUGAUAUGAUCCGAUACAGAGGGCUGACCCACUUUGAUGUUGACAACUUUGUUGAAGAAGUACUCGUGAAAGAUACUGAAUGGCUUCCUGGAUCUCCUGAGGCUAUCAGAGGUUCCUAUGUUUUUGUCUGCUGCCAUGGAAGCAGGGAUAAAAGGUGUGGUGUUUGCGGUCCUGCUUUGAUUACAAGGUUCAAGGAAGAGAUUGAAGCAGAAGGUCUUGAUGGUCACGUGGCUGUUAGUGCAUGCUCACAUGUGGGAGGUCAUAAGUAUGCAGGAAAUGUCAUCAUAUUCAGUCCAGAUGCUAAGGGAGAAGUGACUGGUAAUUGGUAUGGUUAUGUUGCCCCUGAUGAUGUGCCUGAGUUACUACACAAACAAAUUGGGCAAAGAGGAGCGAUUGUGAACCGUCUAUGGAGGGGUCAGUUGGGUAUGUCUGAAGAGCAGCAGAAGCAAGCUCUGGAGCUUAGGCACAUGACGAAUGGCGUGGCUGGGCAAGAAUCAAGCGCCAAAGAAUCCCCUGAAGCAAAUGGAACUGACGGGGCACCUGCAGGUGGAUGCUGCCAGGGCAAUGGAGGAGCACUUAGCUGCUGCCAAAGUGAUCUGCCAGAAGGAAAACAGGAUAAGAGCAUUCCAGCUGAGCAGAACCGCAGGAUCUCCAAGACAGAGAGUGUCAAAGAAAGUGUUGCCGCCAGCAAGGGUCGCAUGAGGAUUUGCCGGAUGCCCACCUGGUUCGAGACCUGGGAUAGGUCUGACACCUACACCACGCUUGCUGUUGUUGCAGCUGCUGCAACGGUGUUCGUCGCUUUCAGGGCCUACAAGACCAUGAACUGA